RNAcentral lists this transfer RNA (66 nucleotides) under Cryptalaus sp. UPOL RK0015. RNAcentral's name for it is "tRNA-Glu". Lineage: Eukaryota; Metazoa; Arthropoda; Insecta; Coleoptera; Elateridae. The record is from RNAcentral.
AUUUACGUAGUUUAAUAAAAACAUUACAUUUUCAUUGUAAAAUUAAAAUUAUUAUUUUCAUAAAUA